AAGUUAUUUACUCUGUCCAACAAAAGAUGUCUCAAGUUUGUCAAAAUUUGAAUGUAUCUAGAUAUGACUUAGUGUAUAGAUGCAUUCAAAUUUGUUCAAAAUUGAGACAUCCUUUGUUGGACGGAGGGAGUAUGAA
Molecule: non-coding RNA, 136 nt
Organism: Brachypodium distachyon (stiff brome)
Lineage: Eukaryota; Viridiplantae; Streptophyta; Magnoliopsida; Poales; Poaceae
Source: Rfam